Molecule: long non-coding RNA, 933 nt
Organism: Sinocyclocheilus grahami
Lineage: Eukaryota; Metazoa; Chordata; Actinopteri; Cypriniformes; Cyprinidae
Exons: 3
Source: RefSeq, a predicted model, not a curated record
UGUUCUAAAAAUUCACAAAACUUGAUUAAAAAUGUAUCUUUGUUACACACUCUACAAUUAAUAUUUAGCAUUGUUUAAACGUUCAAGAAUUUCCCCAGACAUGCUUUCACAUAUAUUUCAUCUUUAGGUACCCCCGAAAAUAUAAGUUAAAAAUCUUUUACAUACAAGGUUAAAAGAAGUUGAUUUUGAAAAUACAGUAUGGAUGCUACCUGUAUAGAUCUAUUGAUUUUUUUUUUUUCUUUUCUUUUGAAAGAAACAGAAAAAAUGAUGACAAAUUAGCAGGAAUCAACAAAAGAUACUGAGUUCUUGAAAGAUCAAAGAGAUCGUUUAGGACAUGCACUGUAUGACAGCACUAAUGUCAUCAUUCAAAUGCAUGUACCACAUUGUUGACAUUUUCUGACUCAUUUUUACAAAUGACAAUGACUGAAUUACAUGAGACAAUCUUAAAACUAAAGGAAUUUCAUGUAUUAUUGCAAUUCAGGUUUAAGUCACUUAGGUAAAUCAAUUGCAGGACAGCAGACCCUGGAGUACAUGUAGGUUUACACAUGUAUUUUUAGGGUUUCCAUAACCAGGUGGAUGAAGCAAAUGCCUAACAAGACUUGAAACCCUAAAUUAAUUAUUAGGCUUUCUUAAUUAAUCAAGCUUUUUAGAAUGUGUCUGGAUAAUUAGGCAUAAAUAUUGUUAAAGGAAACAUAUUAGAUUUAAUACCACAUAUUAUAGGAAACAAUAUGGAAAAUAGCAGGUUCAAUGCCAAUCAAUAACAUUAACCAUCAUUAAAAAGUUAAUCAACAGUUAAAUAUUACAAUAUAUUGUCACAGUUGUUCUAAACAUAAUACAAGUCAUUUGUUGAAAAGUCUGCUCAAGAUGUACAUUUAAAAAUAUCAACAUUAAGAUCUCAUGCUGUGCAAAUGAAAAAAAUGAAAAAGGUAAUUC